Bos taurus (domestic cattle) is the source of this 533-nucleotide long non-coding RNA. The record is from Ensembl. NCBI's taxonomy places the organism in Eukaryota, Metazoa, Chordata, Mammalia, Artiodactyla, Bovidae.
CAUCCCCAUGGGAGCUUGGAUUGAGAUGGGGGACUCUCCAGCAACUAUCAAAUCUUGAAUUUCGUUAUUCUAGCUUUCUGGGGCUGUUCACAGUCCAAGACCUAGAAAGAAUGUCGUUGAAGCCAGGUGUCUGAAACAGAGGCAAGUCUGGGCAAUGCCAAUGUCCUGCAUCUUUCUCAUCUUGUCUUACCUACCUUGCAGAUCAGCUCUGGAGGUGGCAGCUUGAGAGGCAAAGCCUGAGAUGCUCAGCUAAGAGAGACAGCUCUAGCCUUGCAGCCCCAUCUUGCUCCAUACCAGCUAUUAGUUACGGGAUUUGACCUGAGUGGGGAUCAAUUUUCCAGCGAACUCGGUAACCCAGGGUUUGGGGCCGGUCAUAGGCAUUGGAGUCUGGGUGAACCGCCCUGGCGCUGAGCAUUCUCGGAUGUCCUGAAGCUGUUCGGUUCCAGAGGUAUUCUGGGAUAAGACAGGCUAUUCAGCGGGGCCGAGGUGUGUGGGGCCCAAACUAAGUCGCCAGGAUCCCGACGCACCGCCCC